GAUGAACGCUGGCGGCGUGCCUAAUACAUGCAAGUCGAGCGAACAGACGAGGAGCUUGCUCCUCUGACGUUAGCGGCGGACGGGUGAGUAACACGUGGAUAACCUACCUAUAAGACUGGGAUAACUUCGGGAAACCGGAGCUAAUACCGGAUAAUAUAUUGAACCGCAUGGUUCAAUAGUGAAAGACGGUUUUGCUGUCACUUAUAGAUGGAUCCGCGCCGCAUUAGCUAGUUGGUAAGGUAACGGCUUACCAAGGCAACGAUGCGUAGCCGACCUGAGAGGGGGAUCGGCACACUUGGAACGGAGCCACGGCCAGGACUCCUACGGGAGGCAGCAGAAGGAAAUCUUCCGCAAUGGGCGAAAGCUUGCCGGAGCAACGCGGCGUGAGUGAUGAAGGUCUUCGGAUCGUAAAACUCUGUUAUUAGGGAAGAACAAAUGUGUAAGUAACUAUGCACGUCUUGACGGUACCUAAUCAGAAAGCCACGGCUAACUACGUG
Molecule: ribosomal RNA, 497 nt
Filed under: uncultured bacterium
Lineage: Bacteria
Description: partial 16S ribosomal RNA
Rfam family: Bacterial small subunit ribosomal RNA
Source: RNAcentral